UUUUCUACGCUCAUAUCGUCUAUCUUGCUCGUCGUGCAAGACAAUAUCUACACUCUUAAACUCAAGCUGACUGGUUUUCUUUUAAUUUGUCCACCUUCCUUAUUUGGUAAGUUCUUGACAAGCUAAAAAGAGAACCCCAAUUCCCAAAGAAGGAAAUCGGCCGACAACUCCUAAAAAAGCCAUCAAACCAAGAAAAUCAACGAACCCCUUACAUAUUGGAAUUUCCCGUUAUAUCGUUGGUUUCUCGCCGUAGGUAUUUUUCUCACUUGUUUGUUGGUCUACAACAGUGUGUGCGGGCGUGAAAAUGGGGUCCUUAGAGCUAUACCAAGUCGUUGAUUCUGACAACCCAUUUUGACAACUCUGCUUUUGAGGUAUAAGGAUUUACCCAGUCUUUUAAGCUGUUAAAAGCAACUUGCCAUCUUCCGGUAAGGUGUAGUUAAGGUUGUUCGAGUUGCGCUCGAUUCUGGUUAAAGGGCGAGGUCGCCGUUUUGAGUUCUACGUUGAAGGUUUCCGGUCAAGAGGUCCGUUGCCGUGGUCCUGUCGGUUUCACUUUCAAGGCCAGUAAGGAUCAAGCUCUUAUAAAGGCCCGUUGAAGAAAGUUUAUUGCCUGAAGUUCUCACUGCUCAAAGCUUGAAGCUUUGGUCCUUAUAUGGCUGAGUGGAACCUUUGUUUGGUCUGCUGCACCAAACGAGAUUUGGACCAUUUGGAGUUGACUACUCGUGGCAAGAGCAUGGUUUCAG
Long non-coding RNA from Nicotiana tabacum (common tobacco), 740 nucleotides. RefSeq lists it as uncharacterized. The record is from RefSeq and is a predicted model, not a curated record. NCBI's taxonomy places the organism in Eukaryota, Viridiplantae, Streptophyta, Magnoliopsida, Solanales, Solanaceae.